Odontomachus brunneus is the source of this 710-nucleotide long non-coding RNA. RefSeq lists it as uncharacterized. The transcript has 3 exons. NCBI's taxonomy places the organism in Eukaryota, Metazoa, Arthropoda, Insecta, Hymenoptera, Formicidae. The record is from RefSeq and is a predicted model, not a curated record.
GUCGCCUCCAAUGGAUUCACGUAAAGAUUGCUGUCCGCUUCCUCGGUCAGAUCGCCCUGCGGAAGCGAAGGAAUCGUCCCGCGACCGAGCAUUCAAACUUCGCGACGCAACUCCGUCGCGAAAAGUCACGAACGUCCCGGUGAAAUCGAAACGCGCCAGGCAGCAACGAACCACCGACUCGGAGAUUUCAUCAAGGAGAGUCAGUCGGUCCCAGCGGAGAGCGCGCUCAUCCCGCAGACAACGCGUGGUACUGGUUUUUCGCGAAGCGGCAGUCUGACAACAAGAAAUAAAGAAGCCACAUAGAAGGAUCGUGCACUCUACACAGUCGUUCCCGAAGCGCUUUUCCGAGAUGCCAGAGCCGGACCUACCAGAUGCAGGAGGUGGACACGCGACCUCUAAAAAUCGCUCUUGGAUCCUUUAAGUCUACUACUGUGCGCUGGCCGCAUAUUUCCGUGCUCUACCGUUCGGUCUAAGGCAUGCUUCGAGUUGUUGGUGAGUGAUAGGAUGUAAGUUACGCGAGACUUAUCGUACUACUCGUUCCAUCAUACACAAUAUGCAAUAUGUGCCGUCCGAUAGGUGUGUAUUCAUGUGUCGCGUAUGUAUACGUGUUCGUGCGCGCGCGCGCGCGUGCGUGUGCGUGAAUAAUCAGGAAAGGAAUUACCUUGAAACCCUCGAUCUUGCCUUUCGUCCUUCGUACGCGCUAUCGUAUG